GUGCGUAACUGGAGUUCAGAAAGUGUGCUCUUCCGUUCUGAGUUCAAAUUCCGCCGAGAUCGACUUUGCUUUUCAUCUUUUCGGGGUCGAUAAAUUAAGAACCAGUGAAAAACUGGGGUCGAUUACAAUCGGCUAGUCCCCUUCCACAACAUUUCAAGGCUUGUGCCUAGAGUAGAAAGGAUUAUUACACAUAAAAUACGAUCACUUAAGAGAUAAAGGAAACAUGGCUGAUGGCAGUCAUUAUGUACAAUAUGGAGCAGAAGGAGGAGGCGAAGAUUCUCAAGGCCACCAGAACAAAAAGAGUCUUGGGGAUAUGGCUUAGAAUUGGCCAUUCAAGCGAGUAUAGAUGACCUCAAUCGAAUCUCGGAAGAAAUAGUUCUUCCUGAGGACGUAAGACUGCGAGUGGUGGUAGAAGGUAGGCCGCCCAUAUGCUAUGAAUGUGAAGAAAAAGGCCACAUGAAAGCGAGGUGCCUCUAGAAAGAACCACAGACGGAAGAGAUGGAGAAGCAAGAAAGUGCAGACCAAGAGGUACAAGUCGAGGUAAAGGAGACAAGAACGGAUGAAGGAUUAACGCUGGUAAAAAAAUGAAAGAGAAGCGAUAGAGUAAGCUCUCCGCCAGAAAGGCAAAAAAAAAAAAUAAAUAAAGGAGAAACGUCAGAGGAAGAGGUUAUGAAGGAAGUCAGACGGAAGGAAGAUAAAAUGGUGAAAGAUAAAAUGGUGGUCGAAAAAGAAAUUGGAAAGGAGUGCGUAGAGAAGUUGCAGAAGGAUUGUACCAGUAGAGGAGGAGGAGGAUUCAGAACAAUUAUACGAAGGUGAAAUGGAGGAAUUAUUCAGAGUGGGAAGAGAAAUGGUACCAGCAGUGGAGGAGGAAAAGGGAAAGCUAGUAAGAAAGUCCAAAAAUCGAUGGCGUUUUGUGUCAUACGCGAAAAACAAGGAGAUAGAACGGAAAAUCACAAAAUUUAAGUCUAUUAUAAAGGUAAAACUGCCGACAGACAUGUAUUCGGAGAAUGUAAAGGCCAUUUUGAUCGACAGAGAGAAAUACAACAAGCUGAAUAAUAUGUGUGGAGGGAUCUUCACACCCCCGGAGUAGCGGUGGAAUUCGAUGAAUUACCACCGGUGGUGAAACUGAAAGAUAUCAAACCCUUCAUGAAAUACUAAAAAAGAAAAA
This is a long non-coding RNA of Octopus sinensis (East Asian common octopus), 1168 nucleotides long. RefSeq lists it as uncharacterized. The transcript is spliced from 5 exons. NCBI's taxonomy places the organism in Eukaryota, Metazoa, Mollusca, Cephalopoda, Octopoda, Octopodidae. The record is from RefSeq and is a predicted model, not a curated record.